Molecule: long non-coding RNA, 5877 nt
Organism: Monomorium pharaonis (pharaoh ant)
Lineage: Eukaryota; Metazoa; Arthropoda; Insecta; Hymenoptera; Formicidae
Exons: 2
Source: RefSeq, a predicted model, not a curated record
UUAAAGUAUACGUUGCUAUUACUACUGUUCUGAAACAGGAAUACCUGAGAAUACCAUCAUGUGAAAAUGAAUGGAAAGUAAUUGCUAACGAUUUUGAUGAUCAAUGGAAUUUUUAUAAUUGCAUCGGUGCUAUGAACGGCAAACAUUUUAAAAUCGAUCCACCAUUACAAUCAGGAUCUUUGUAUUAUAAUUAUAAAAAUGCCUUUUCUAUUGUAUUACUGGCUGUGGUGGAUGCACAAACUUAGAUUCAUACAUAGAUAUUGGUACAAAUCGUAAAAUCAGUGAUUCAGGGAUAUAGAAUAAGUGCACUCUUAAAACUUAUCUUGACAAUAAUCUGAAAAUUCCUAAAUCAUCACGUUUGCCUAACACGGAAAAAAAAUUCCCUUUUGUCUUGGAGAUGAAGGAUUUCCAUUAAAUAUAAAAGUUCUUAUUCUUUAUUCACGAGAUCUAUGUAACGGCAGAAAAAAUAGGAAAAUAUUUAAUUAUAGAUUAUUUAGAGCCCGACGAUGUUCUGAAAAUGCUUUUGGGAUAUUAAGAGCUAGAUUCCAAAUUUUUAGAUCACCAAUGCGAUAUAAUCCUGAUGAUGUGACAAAAAUUGUUCUAGCUUGUUGUUGUAUACAUAAUAUGUUAAGAAGUAAAGUAGUAGGAAGACUCAUGUAUACUCCUCCCACUUUUCUUGAUGAAGAAAACGAGCUUGGGUAUAGAUUUCAAUUAGGAGAAUGGCAACAAGAGCCUGUUUUCGGAAUAGCAAAUUUAGUCAAUCAGGGUGGUAAUCGCCAUGCUAAUAUUGCUCUUCGUCUCAGAGAUGAACGGUGUGACUAUUUUAAUGGAACAGGGGUAAUUCCGUGGCAAUAACGUAUGAUUACUAUCUGCAUAAUGAACUGCUUUUCUUAUUUUAUAAUAACGUUAUUUUAUAAUGGUUUGAUUUCAAUAACUUUUAUGUAUCAUAUAUAUAUAAUUGUAUUUAAUUUCAAUAAUGUUAAGCUAUCUCUUGUCUCUUGAUAUUUAUGAAAAUUAUAAAAGACUAUUAGAUUAAUAUAGAAUAAUUUUGUUUUAUAUUCUUUCUACAUUAUAUACUGUUUAACGCUUUUCAGUAUGUAAAUUUGAUGCAAAAAAUAAAAGAUUACUUAAAAAAUAAACUUUAUUUUUUGUAACAUUAUUAUAUUGUUACAAACUAUCUUUGCUUUUUCUAAUAUCUAAAUAUGUAAUGAAAUAUUCUUAAUUCUAAUAUAAUUAAAUAUUCACUAGCAUAACGAAACAAGAGUAUAUCUUUUUACAUAUUCAUCUUUAUACACAUCAACUUAUGUGUAUAAAGAUCUUAUCUUAUCUUUGUCAUCUUUAUACACAACAAGUGGCACGGAGUUUCAAAUAAAGAAAAAUAUUUAAAUGACCAUUUUGUUGCCUUCUUUUUUUUUGCUGUAUGUGGUCUAAAGUCAAUAAUGGUGAAUAUAAAAAAAAAUUCGGCUAUAAAGUAGUAUCUUCAUUACUAAAAUAAUUUUUUAAAAAAUUAAGAAUAAGCAUUCUUCACUAUUAUAUCACCCUUAGAUAACUAAAUACAACAAUUUCAAAUUCAUGUUAUAUCUACCACACAUUUACCAGCACUUACGUGCUGUAUUACUUCGAUUAUUGUAAACUUUUUUUAUUUUAUCAAUUAUUUCACUCAAACGAGCAAGUGCACCGUUUAAAAAAUUGAACAGUACUUUUCUGGACAACUAAGAUGUAUUGUUGUAAAGUUUCACUAACAUUUGUUCAUUACUUCUACGUUUAAUACGACAAUAAAAACUCUGUAAAAAUUCCGGAAAAUUCAUCAAUUCCCAUAAAAGCUCAUGUUAAUAAAAUAUUUAACAUCUAAAUAACUAGCUAAUUCAGCUUUCUGAAAUUUUGACAGUCACACAAUUUAUAUCACUAAUUUAAACUUCUCUACAAAGUUUCAUGAAAAUCUGUUUAUUUUGAUUUAGCAGCAGAACUCCUUUAAGUUUAAGAAUUGUCUUAACCAUUUUCGGACUAAAAUGCCACAUUUUCUUCUCAUCUUUCAGCGCUCUAUCUUUUGAUUUAAUCAACCUGGUAAAAAUUUUUUAAAUACCAUUUUCGAAUGCAAAAAGCUUUUUUUUUGCAGAUGUCGUCGUUAAAAUUGACCUACAAAGUCUUUGAAAAAAGUUACAACUCAUUUAUUUCAAAAAAGAGCCAAUUUUAAAAUGUUUUUCAAAAAUCCCACAUUUUGAGUUCAAGUGGCCAGAACAUCUCUACCAUGGUAGAAAUGUGUCAUUUGUAUCUGCUCUGAAAGAUCUCAUCGCGAUUUUUUCAAAAAUUCAAUAUGGCAAUUUUAAUAUGGCGGCUCAAAGUUCAGUAAAUUCAAAAAAAUUGAUAUUUUAUAAAUUUUUUUAUGGUUUAUAGAUUUUCUCACUAAAUAUAAUCUAAAACCGACUAGAAUUUAUCAACACCACAUAUAAAAUGCUUGAAAAUUAUAAAUAUUCCGAUAUUAUUGUCAAAUCAUUUUCAAUCUUAAGAAUCUAUGAUCUUUGAUGCAGAGACACUAUCGUUAGUAUUAGCGUCACCCAAGAUACACCAGUGUGGAGAUUGCUCAGUCGGACUUGUAUCUCUUUUGUGUGUGGGGAGGGUGUGUCCGUUGUGUGUACAAAUUUUUGAAAAAAAUUUGUGAAAAAAUCGACUUUUUUUCAAAAAAAUAAGCUGUAACUUAUACAGUUUCGUAGGUCAAUUUUGACGACGGCAUCUAAAAAAGGCUUUUUGCGUUCAAAAAAUUUUUACUAGGUUGAUUACAUAAAAAAAUAGAGUUAAAAGUUAAGAAGAAAAUGUGGCAUUUUGGUCUGAAAAGGGUUAAGCCACGAGCAGACUUAAGACUUACUUAACCAAUUAAAUAACAGUUUGAUUGACGUCUCAAGAUCGUACUUAAGAUGGAUCUUGAAUAAGAUAUCGGUCUAUGAAUUCUAACUCAAAAGAGUUAGAAUUUUUUGGAAGUCUUGAUAAUUAAAAAAUUAUGGUUUAAAAGAAACUUUAUAAACAUUUUUUAUGUGAAAUUUUCUGCUUUCAAUUGUUGGCAUUAAUUAAAAAAAAUGUUUAAUUAAAAAGUUAUUUGCCAAAAACUUCAAUUUUGCACUUAUUUUAUUAAAUAAAAAAAAGAACUCACCAUUUAAAGAAGUAGACAAUUUUUUUAUUUGAGAUAUAUUGAAGAAGAGGCUGGAUAUAUUUCAAAUAUAUUGAGUCUAGCCUGUUGCUAAUUUUUCCGCAGUCAAAAUCUAAGAACACUCCACUAAUAGUACAAUUAAUGAUUUCAAAGGCUCCAAAAUUUAAAGCUUCACAAUUAAAACCUUCGAAGAUCGCAUUUUCGAAGAAUUAUGUAAUUAUUAGAAAAAAGUGUAGAAUACUUGUAUAUAUAUAUAAUGUAAAUUAUAAAUUAGCAGUAAAACUACAAUCUACUUAUACGGAUUACAUUUUAAUGUUGAGAAUAUUCCAUCACUUUCGUAAGGGAAAAAGAAAGAAUAAUUAAACUCCAUGCAAUUAAUGAUUCCGAAUUGCAUGUUUCAUUGAUUCUCACUCUUCAUUGCUUCUUUCACAUUUUAAAUAUGGUAUUUAAUUGUCGACCAUUUGGAAAUGAGAAUUGUUUGAAUCGCCUUCAGGGCAUUAUCACGGACAAUGAACUGCGUGGGCAUGAAUCUCUGUCCAUAGAGUAUAGACAACAUUCGACUAUCUUAUCAACUUGCCGGAAAUAUCCAGGGAUAUGAAAUUCUUUUGUUAAAGAUCUUUUUAUGAUUUUAUUUAAUGUAUUUGUAAUAUUUUUCACAAAUAUCCAGUUAUUAAUUUUUAAUUAAUAACCCUGGUAGAAAUUUAGUACAGCUUUUGAUUGGUUAUUGGACAGUUUUACUGGUCUUUGUCCAGUAACUGAAUAGUAAACUAUCUAGGAUACCAAUCAAGAUGUAACGCUUUUCUCAUAGUUAUUGUAUAAAAAAACUGUAUACUAUCCGAAUUCAGUUACUUAACAGUUACUCAACAGUAAAAGUACCUCUUAAUCUUUUAACCUCUUAAUCUCUCUUGACAUUUUGUGACAGAACUACAUAUUUGAAAUUGUUCAACAAUUAAAAUAAAAAAUCAGGUCAGUUUCUAGGCAGUAUUUUUGUAUAUAAAGAGAAAUCAUUAAUACUAGAUAGUAAUGGAUUAAGUAGUCAGUUAAACUGUAUAAAUUUCUACCAGGAAAUAAUAGCUAUUUGUUUUUUCUUAUAAUAACACCUAUGUGAACCUAGCACCCCUUUUUAGAAAUUAAUUAUUUUAUGGAAUACAUUAGCAUUUUGUUUCUAGUUGUUUUGUAGUAACAAUAAUUAUGUUUGUAGUUUAAUAGAAUAAAAAAUGUUAAAAUUUUUAAAAAUAACUUGCACCUGACAUUGACAUCUAUUAAGCUAGCACUUUAGCAUAAUAGAAUAAAACUUACACAGAAAUUUGGUGCUCUUUAGUUGCUAAUUUGUUACUCAAAUCCCGUUUUUUUUUGCUCCAUAAUUAGCAAAAAAUUAGCUGUAAAGAAAUCUAGCUUUUUUUUAAUUAAAAAAAUUUGUCUUCUAUGAAUGUGCUAACUUUAAUCUUGAGUUAGCACAGCCACUAUUUUCUCUAAAUCGACUGGAGCAAAAAAAUAGGGACUUGAGUAACAAAUUAGCAACUAAAGAACAUUAAAUUUCUGUGUAAGUUUUAUUCGAUUGUGCUAAACUGACUAUGCCAGCUUAAUAAACGUAGAUCAAACGAUUCAAAUUUUUUUGCGGGACUCGAUUCAAUAUCGUUUGUAUAAGUUGUUUGUAGUAAUUUUGCUUUUUAUUUCGUUUGUAGCUGAACCGUUUGCGAGAUAUAAUUCAUUAUUACUUAAUUGUUUAAAUAAUUAUACCGCGCAAACAGUUGAACUAUAAACGAAAGCAAAAUCAUCACAAACAACUACAAACGAUUCUAAAUCGAGUCCCGCAAAAAUAUUCAAGAUAUCUCAAUGUCGGGUAAAAGUAAUUUUUUUUAAUUUUAAUAUUUUUUAUUCUAUUAAACUACAAACAAAAUUAUUGUUACUACAAACUACAAAUGCUAACGUUUUCUAUAAAAAAAAAAAAAUUAAAAGGUCGGGCGCUAGAUUUACACAAGUUACAUUAACACAUAAAUGAGAUAGGAUUAACUAUGUAUUAUAUAAGAAUUUUUGUUUUAGGAACCUUAUCAAUUAAACUUAUUACGAAUUCGUUUGAAAUUACUGAUAACUGAAAGUAUUCUGAAUUAGAAUUGUUAUUUUUGAUCAUUUGAAAGAUUAGAAGUUUCGAACCUUUCAAGGCUUCGAAAAUAUGUUCGUGCAAAUGACAAAUUUAUUCAGAGAAUACUAAAAAUAUUGUAAAUAAAAGAAUAAAUUAACAUAUGUAUAUUUGCCAAAAAUGGAAUUAUUCCUAAAUUAAAAUUUGAAAAUAUAACAUAUGGAAUAUUACACAUUUGAUAUAAUAGAGUAUUAAAAAGUUAAGCGAUUUUCAUUCAAUAAACAUGAAGUGAGCUCUCGAAAUAAAGAUAAUUAAUCAGACUCGACGUAUUUACACAAGUAAAUAAGUAAUGAUCAAUAAUACCACCUAAUUAAAAAGAUUAAAAGAAAGUAAUGGUCAAUAUUACAACCUAAUUAAAAAGUGAAAAAAUUAAUCUUAAAUAAAUAAAUAAAAAAUAUAAUACGUUAAUAAAAUGUUUUGAUUACUGACAAGUACUCAAGUGUUACAUUCCAAUUUUGAUAAGCUUUGAGUGUUUUGUAGUCUAGGUCAAAAUAAGAUACACAGUUUAUUAUGAAAUAUAUAUUUUACAUUACACAUCUUACACAUGUGUAAGAUAUUUUUUAUACGUGCCCAUACGGUCGUUAAGAAGGUAAAA